RNAcentral lists this ribosomal RNA (533 nucleotides) under bacterium E-2-0-6B. Its description in RNAcentral is "bacterial SSU rRNA". It matches the Rfam family "Bacterial small subunit ribosomal RNA", at positions 372 to 896 of the family's 1533-position model. The record is from RNAcentral.
UGGGGGGAACCCUGAUCCAGCCAUGCCGCGUGUGUGAAGAAGGCCUUUUGGUUGUAAAGCACUUUAAGCGAGGAGGAGGCUACUCUAGUUAAUACUCUAGGAUAGUGGACGUUACUCGCAGAAUAAGCACCGGCUAACUCUGUGCCAGCAGCCGCGGUAAUACAGAGGGUGCAAGCGUUAAUCGGAUUUACUGGGCGUAAAGCGCGCGUAGGUGGCCAAUUAAGUCAAAUGUGAAAUCCCCGAGCUUAACUUGGGAAUUGCAUUCGAUACUGGUUGGCUAGAGUAUGGGAGAGGAUGGUAGAAUUCCAGGUGUAGCGGUGAAAUGCGUAGAGAUCUGGAGGAAUACCGAUGGCGAAGGCAGCCAUCUGGCCUAAUACUGACACUGAGGUGCGAAAGCAUGGGGAGCAAACAGGAUUAGAUACCCUGGUAGUCCAUGCCGUAAACGAUGUCUACUAGCCGUUGGGGCCUUUGAGGCUUUAGUGGCGCAGCUAACGCGAUAAGUAGACCGCCUGGGGAGUACGGUCGCAAGACUG